UGGAUCCGGGCCAUUCCGUAGUCCUGCCUGUGUCCAUUACUACGCUUACUUCAAGGCUUAUCUCAUAAUGUCUCCCUUGUACGUUUAUAAACUCUUUGAAGUAUGAAAUAUCCUUCUUCUGUCAAAGCUUUCGCUGGUGUUCAUGGCUUCCCAGAUGCUGGCGCCAAAAAGUCCCAAGGACAGCAAAACAACGACAAUGCGAACAGGCGUCUUUAUCAGCAAUCGAGCGAACUGCUUCAUCACCUUGUCAGCUUCAUCUUGCAAACGAGGCUCGUCCCGGAUCAUCGCGGGAUUCGGGUUAUUAGCCGUCGGGACUACGUUUAUCAGUUUAUUGGGGUGUAACCGUUUCUAAUUCUUGGGAUUAAGGAUAUGUUUAUUAUUCUUGACGAACUGGAUCGACAAGACAACAAAGUGUUUGUUAUUGACACCAUCGAAAUUGUGAGACCGUGACAGAACUCGUUGAGUUUGCCGUUAGCACGUCCACAGCUUUCCCGUCGCGACAUUUGGCGUCAGGAGGAUUAAGGCGAACCGCCGCAACUGCCUCCCGUUGUGCUUUGCGUCACCCCCAAAGAAGAGAAGCCGGACUCGAUAGUCUUUUUGUUGUAAUUUAAGUGAGAGGUUUUACAAUCACUGUGUUAUGGUGAGUUGAUAAUAAUUUUUUGGCUAGAUUGCUAUAAGUGUAAGGUUAUAUAAGAACUUUAAAGAACUUCUUCGUUCGCUUUAGAACUGGCCCAAACGUUUCCUCAUCUUCUUCGAGAAGUAUUAAACAUGCCAUUCCCAUGACAGAGUGCUGUCCAGUCGGAGACCAAGAAGCUGGGCUGAUGGUUCAGUCUCCAGAGUUUGUUGCCAAUGGAGACUGUUAGGGUGUCACCAGAAAAAGUUAUCUCACUACAGACAAUCAUUGAUAUUACAUGCGAAUUCUUUUGCAACUCGCAACAUAACAGAAAAUGUGUUCCAGGUCCGCACUUCCGCCAGCCCCCACUAGCUACGCAACGUGGCGAGAGGGGGUGGGGGGACUUAAGACUUAAGAGAGGGUAGAGGGUGGGGUUAGGGGACAAAAUGUGAAGACAUGUUGGAGAGCUGUACAGAGUAAUAUAGCAAUAAAAUGGUGGGAAAGUAGCAAAGAACGAAAUAAAUGGCAUAUGAGAAUAAAACAAAUGGGGAAGGAC
Long non-coding RNA from Nematostella vectensis (starlet sea anemone), 1169 nucleotides. RefSeq lists it as uncharacterized. The transcript is spliced from 3 exons. The record is from RefSeq and is a predicted model, not a curated record. NCBI's taxonomy places the organism in Eukaryota, Metazoa, Cnidaria, Anthozoa, Actiniaria, Edwardsiidae.